CCUACGGGAGGCAGCAGUGGGGAAUUUUGGACAAUGGGCGCAAGCCUGAUCCAGCCAUUCCGCGUGCAGGAUGAAGGCCUUCGGGUUGUAAACUGCUUUUGUACGGAACGAAAAGGCUCUGGCUAAUACCUGGGGCUCAUGACGGUACCGUAAGAAUAAGCACCGGCUAACUACGUGCCAGCAGCCGCGGUAAUACGUAGGGUGCGAGCGUUAAUCGGAAUUACUGGGCGUAAAGCGUGCGCAGGCGGUUAUGUAAGACAGAGGUGAAAUCCCCGGGCUCAACCUGGGAACGGCCUUUGUGACUGCAGGACUAGAGUACGGCAGAGGGGGAUGGAAUUCCGCGUGUAGCAGUGAAAUGCGUAGAUAUGCGGAGGAACACCGAUGGCGAAGGCAAUCCCCUGGGCCUGUACUGACGCUCAUGCACGAAAGCGUGGGGAGCAAACAGGAUUAGAUACCCCUGUAGU
This 464-nucleotide ribosomal RNA is filed under the name uncultured Comamonadaceae bacterium. RNAcentral's name for it is "partial 16S ribosomal RNA". It matches the Rfam family "Bacterial small subunit ribosomal RNA", at positions 338 to 794 of the family's 1533-position model. The record is from RNAcentral. Lineage: Bacteria; Pseudomonadati; Pseudomonadota; Betaproteobacteria; Burkholderiales; Comamonadaceae.